CGGGCGUUAAGUUGCAGGGUAUAGACCCGAAACCCGGUGAUCUAGCCAUGGGCAGGUUGAAGGUUGGGUAACACUAACUGGAGGACCGAACCGACUAAUGUUGAAAAAUUAGCGGAUGACCUGUGGCUGGGGGUGAAAGGCCAAUCAAACCGGGAGAUAGCUGGUUCUCCCCGAAAGCUAUUUAGGUAGCGCCUCGUGAAUUCAUCUCCGGGGGUAGAGCACUGUUUCGGCUAGGGGGCCAUCCCGGCUUACCAACCCGAUGCAAACUGCGAAUACCGGAGAAUGUUAUCACGGGAGACACACGGCGGGUGCUAACGUCCGUCGUGAAGAGGGAAACAACCCAGACCGCCAGCUAAGGUCCCAAAGUCAUGGUUAAGUGGGAAACGAUGUGGGAAGGCCCAGACAGCCAGGAUGUUGGCUUAGAAGCAGCCAUCAUUUAAAGAAAGCGUAAUAGCUCACUGGUCGAGUCGGCCUGCGCGGAAGAUGUAACGGGGCUAAACCAUGCACCGAAGCUGC
RNAcentral lists this ribosomal RNA (516 nucleotides) under Salmonella enterica subsp. enterica serovar Weltevreden. RNAcentral describes it as "partial 23S ribosomal RNA". It matches the Rfam family "Bacterial large subunit ribosomal RNA", at positions 689 to 1203 of the family's 2925-position model. Lineage: Bacteria; Pseudomonadati; Pseudomonadota; Gammaproteobacteria; Enterobacterales; Enterobacteriaceae. The record is from RNAcentral.